CGUAUUUUAGGCCGGUCUGACCGGUUCUAUUUCACCCUGUUUUUUGCGUACUCUUUGUUUCCUCGGUAGGCUUGCCUGCCGAUAGGACAUUUCAACUCUCUUACUAUUAGCAAUCAGCGUCAAAAUAAAUUAUAAUUGUAA
Molecule: unclassified non-coding RNA, 141 nt
Filed under: uncultured fungus
Lineage: Eukaryota; Fungi
Description: sequence contains ITS1, 5.8S rRNA gene
Source: RNAcentral